Molecule: ribosomal RNA, 442 nt
Filed under: uncultured bacterium
Lineage: Bacteria
Description: SSU rRNA
Rfam family: Bacterial small subunit ribosomal RNA
Source: RNAcentral
AGAACGAACGCUGGCGGCAGGCUUAACACAUGCAAGUCGAGCGCCCCGCAAGGGGAGCGGCAGACGGGUGAGUAACGCGUGGGAACAUACCCUCCGGUUCGGAAUAGCUCAGGGAAACUUGGAUUAAUACCGGAUACGGCCUAGCGGCGAAAGAUUCAUCGCCGGAGGAUUGGCCCGCGUCUGAUUAGCUAGUUGGUGGGGUAAUGGCCCACCAAGGCGACGAUCAGUAGCUGGUCUGAGAGGAUGAUCAGCCACAUUGGGACUGAGACACGGCCCAAACUCCUACGGGAGGCAGCAGUGGGGAAUAUUGGACAAUGGGCGCAAGCCUGAUCCAGCCAUGCUGCGUGAGUGAUGACGGCCUUAGGGUUGUAAAGCUCUUUCGCUAGGGACGAUAAUGACGGUACCUAGACAAGAGCCCGGCUAACUUCGUGCCAGCAGCCGC